AGUGAACGCUGGCGGUAGGCCUAACACAUGCAAGUCGAACGGCAGCACAGGAGAGCUUGCUCUCUGGGUGGCGAGUGGCGGACGGGUGAGGAAUACAUCGGAAUCUACUCCGUCGUGGGGGAUAACGUAGGGAAACUUACGCUAAUACCGCAUACGACCUACGGGUGAAAGCAGGGGACCUUCGGGCCUUGCGCGAUUGAAUGAGCCGAUGUCGGAUUAGCUAGUUGGCGGGGUAAAGGCCCACCAAGGCGACGAUCCGUAGCUGGUCUGAGAGGAUGAUCAGCCACACUGGAACUGAGACACGGUCCAGACUCCUACGGGAGGCAGCAGUGGGGAAUAUUGGACAAGGGGCGCAAGCCUGUUCCAGCCAUACCGCGUGGGUGAAGAAGGCCUUCGGGUUGUAAAGCCCUUUUGUUGGGAAAGAAAUCCAGCUGGCUAAUACCCGGUUGGGAUGACGGUACCCAAAGAAUAAGCACCGGCUAACUUCGUGCCAGCCGCCGCGAUAA
Molecule: ribosomal RNA, 506 nt
Filed under: uncultured bacterium
Lineage: Bacteria
Description: partial 16S ribosomal RNA
Rfam family: Bacterial small subunit ribosomal RNA
Source: RNAcentral